This is a non-coding RNA of Podarcis lilfordi (Lilford's wall lizard), 342 nucleotides long. The record is from the annotation of a GenBank genome assembly. Lineage: Eukaryota; Metazoa; Chordata; Lepidosauria; Squamata; Lacertidae.
UUGUAGUCCCAAAACAUCUGGAGGGCCUGCUCUACAGCAUGUACAGAAACUGCCUUCUUGACCGCUGAACCCACUAUUGGUCUUGUCUGCUCAAUGUAUCGGAACCUGUCUUCACAUGCAGGGCGUGUCCCAAGCUCACUGAUAGUUUGAGACCCAUUGGCUACCCACACCUGGUUUAGCUGGCCAGUGGAAGCCGUUCCAGGGGGUGGCUUCUGUCACAUUCUGACAGCUUCUAGGAGCCACCGUUGAGAGCUGAACGCAAGGUGGAGAUGUGUUAAAUUAUGCUCAUAGAGCUAACUUGAUAAAUUUAAAGCCAGAGCAGCCCUCUUCGGUUGUAUUUUU